This 253-nucleotide ribosomal RNA is filed under the name uncultured bacterium. Its description in RNAcentral is "partial 16S ribosomal RNA". It matches the Rfam family "Bacterial small subunit ribosomal RNA", at positions 524 to 776 of the family's 1533-position model. The record is from RNAcentral.
UACGUAGGGUGCAAGCGUUAAUCGGAAUUACUGGGCGUAAAGCGUGCGCAGGCGGCUUUGCAAGACAGAUGUGAAAUCCCCGGGCUUAACCUGGGGACUGCAUUUGUGACUGCAUGGCUCGAGUACGGUAGAGGGGGAUGGAAUUCCGCGUGUAGCAGUGAAAUGCGUAGAUAUGCGGAGGAACACCGAUGGCGAAGGCAGCCCCCUGGGUCGACACUGACGCUCAGGCACGAAAGCGUGGGGAGCAAACAGG